RNAcentral lists this ribosomal RNA (250 nucleotides) under uncultured bacterium. Its description in RNAcentral is "partial 16S ribosomal RNA". It matches the Rfam family "Bacterial small subunit ribosomal RNA", at positions 524 to 773 of the family's 1533-position model. The record is from RNAcentral.
UACGGAGGGUGCAAGCGUUGCUCGGAAUUACUGGGCGUAAAGGGGAGGUAGGUGGUCUCGUUUGUCUAAGGUGAAAUCCCCGGGCUUAACCCGGGACUGUCCUUAGAAACGGCGAGACUAGAGUUCUAGAGAGGGUCGCGGAAUUCCCGGUGUAGCGGUGAAAUGCGUAGAGAUCGGGAGGAAUACCAGCAGCGAAGGCGGCGACCUGGAUAGGUACUGACACUAAACUCCGAAAGCGUGGGGAGCAAAC